UUUUAUUAUAACUAAAGCAUAAAAUACAAUUUUGCAAAUUUAAGAAAAAAUAAAUUAGGUCCCAAGGGGUAAUUCCCCUCCUGUUAUCUUCUGUUUUAUUUUCACCUGUGGAAACGUUUAAAAGACCAAGAUUUGAUUUCUUAUAAUGCAAUGAGAAGAGCAUCUUUUUCUGAAUGUAUGACUCGACAUGUAUAGUUUGAAUUACAGCCCGUUUGACAAAUCCGAGCUCAACCAAGUUAAAACUUUAGUGAACAAUAAUUUGUUUGUUCCCUCCUGUUACAGCCUUUUUGUGUACCUUCUGAGAAUGUUUGAUUGUCAACACUAUAAUAUUAAAUGUGUUUUUAUAAUUUCUUAUUGAAUUGAAAAGUAGAUGGGAGUAAACUUCCGCAUAAUUCAAAUCAAAGGAUAAAAAGAACUGUGUAAUUCUUUUCUGUAACGUUCUAUCAUUUUACCUGAUAAAAACUAACAGCAUAGCCAUAAGCAAUCACGGGAAGGAUGUCUUGCGAAUAAAGUUUUAAAAGAUAAAUGACAUUGUUUGCUGUUAUCAAUCAAUUGUAAACAAUUUGUAAUGAUGUAUUUGUCUUAAAAUAUGAAAUAAAGGAUUUAAAAAAAACAGAUUCCUGCCUGUUACCAACUCUGUCCUGUUACCCAAGAUUUUUUUUUAUGUAACCAACAUAUCGAACAAUAUUUUAGUACAUUUCUUAACUUGUUGCAUUGCACAUGCUAAAAUAAAUAAUUGGCAUUCGAUAAAAUAUUGUAGGAUAUACUAGUAAACCAGAUAUAAUAUCCUUAACUAAAUUUUUGU
RNAcentral lists this long non-coding RNA (805 nucleotides) under Mytilus galloprovincialis (Mediterranean mussel). The record is from RNAcentral. Lineage: Eukaryota; Metazoa; Mollusca; Bivalvia; Mytilida; Mytilidae.